Molecule: ribosomal RNA, 300 nt
Filed under: Triticum aestivum (bread wheat)
Lineage: Eukaryota; Viridiplantae; Streptophyta; Magnoliopsida; Poales; Poaceae
Description: partial small subunit ribosomal RNA
Source: RNAcentral
AUGGUGUUCCCUGAGCCAUGGUGUGUGCCUUCUCCUCCCCUAGAUCAUCUCACCAAUUACUUGCACGCUAGAGGUAGGCUAGACCAUACUGAAAACGAUCUUCCAUUUUCACAAUUAUUUAUUUCUCUCUUUUUGUGCAUCUCCGAUCCCUGUUCAUACUUUAUUACUACAGGAAUGUAUAUCAUAGAUUAUCUAGAAACGAUACUGCUUACUUCUGAUGCUCCAUCAUCCUGUCAGGCUUCAUUUAAUCCUAAAGGCUCCUUUGUCAAGGAAAAACAUCUACCUAUAUUGCUGACAUAG